GACGUAGGGCGUGAGCGUUGUCCGGAUUUAUUGGGCGUAAAGAGCUCGUAGGCGGCUCGUUGCGUCGGCUGUGAAAACCCGCAGCUCAACUGUGGGCUUGCAGCUGAUACGGGCGGGCUGGGAUUCGGUAGGGGAGACUGGAAUUCCCAGUGUAGAGGUGAAAUUCGUAGAUAUUGGGGAAGAACACCGGUGGCGAAGGCGGCUCUCUGGACCGAUACUGACGCUGAGGCGCGAAACGUGGGGAGCAA
This 248-nucleotide ribosomal RNA is filed under the name uncultured bacterium. RNAcentral describes it as "partial 16S ribosomal RNA". It matches the Rfam family "Bacterial small subunit ribosomal RNA", at positions 524 to 771 of the family's 1533-position model. The record is from RNAcentral.